This 497-nucleotide ribosomal RNA is filed under the name uncultured bacterium. Its description in RNAcentral is "partial 16S ribosomal RNA". It matches the Rfam family "Bacterial small subunit ribosomal RNA", at positions 28 to 507 of the family's 1533-position model. The record is from RNAcentral.
GAUGAACGCUGGCGGCGUGCCUAAUACAUGCAAGUCGAGCGAACAGACGAGGAGCUUGCUCCUCUGACGUUAGCGGCGGACGGGUGAGUAACACGUGGAUAACCUACCUAUAAGACUGGGAUAACUUCGGGAAACCGGAGCUAAUACCGGAUAAUAUAUUGAACCGCAUGGUUCAAUAGUGAAAGACGGUUUUGCUGUCACUUAUAGAUGGAUCCGCGCCGCAUUAGCUAGUUGGUAAGGUAACGGCUUACCAAGGCGACGAUGCGUAGCCGACCUGAGAGGGGGAUCGGCCACACUGGAACGGAGAAACGGUCCAGACGCCUACGGGAGGCAGCAGUAGGGAAUCUUCCGCAAUGGGCGAAAGCCUGACGGAGCAACGCCGCGUGAGUGAUGAAGGUCUUCGGAUCGUAAAACUCUUUUAUUAGGGAAGAACAAAUGUGUAAGUAACUAUGCACGUCUUGACGGUACCUAAUCAGAAAGCCACGGCUAACUACGUG